UAUUUUGACUAAGGGAGCUACCAUUUGAUUUUUAUGGGGGGGCUAGGAUGAAAUUUGAAAAAAAUAGGCAGGACAGGAGUUUUGAGUAAAAAAAAAGGCAGGAUGAGACACUUGCAAAAAAAAAAGUCAGGACGACAAUUUAGGUAAGAAAAAGUCAGGAUAAACUAAAAAAAAAAAGGCAGGACCGAACAGAGUAAAAAAUAAAAAGGCAGGACAGAGAUUACAGCUAAAAAAAAAUGCAGGACAAAAUUUUUCAUCCUAGCCCCCCAUAAAAAUCAAAUGGUAGCUCCCUAAUA
RNAcentral lists this long non-coding RNA (296 nucleotides) under Mytilus galloprovincialis (Mediterranean mussel). Lineage: Eukaryota; Metazoa; Mollusca; Bivalvia; Mytilida; Mytilidae. The record is from RNAcentral.